This 1310-nucleotide small RNA is filed under the name Histoplasma ohiense. RNAcentral's name for it is "hypothetical lncRNA". Lineage: Eukaryota; Fungi; Ascomycota; Eurotiomycetes; Onygenales; Ajellomycetaceae. The record is from RNAcentral.
GUUUAACCUAUCACAAACUCAAAUUUCAUUCUUCUCAUCCACAAUUUCCCACACCUCGAUCCCGUCAGCAAUAGUCAACUUCCAAGUUUUAAAUUCAACACUUUGAUACAAUUCGUUCGCAGUUGCUAUUGCCUUUCUAUGCCACGGCCCAAGUCCUCCACGUCUCGCGUCCUCCUUGCUUCGCCAGAUACCUGAUGAUCAUGAAAGAGUUUAAAUCAGCCCAAUGAUAUUGACCCAACGUCCACCCAGAGAAAAACACGAAGAAACGGGGGGAACCAACAGGCCCACUUCCACUUACAGGUUGCCAAAUUCCUAAAUUUCUCAUCCUUGAUCCCAAACCAGUAUUUCAACAGCCCACCGCUCACAGUAGCUUCCCAAUGAGAAUAUAAGUCGAGCUCCAUGAGCCUGUCGGAAUCUGCUGUUGGAAGCAGGACGGAUCGAAACGUCACGACAUGGAAUGACAGUUCCUUCCACUCAUGGCCUUCUGCAAUUGCCAGGUCCCUCAGCACGUCCAUCACAAACUUCCAAUUGAACGAUUCAACAUAUUCUGCUACCGCAUAAUCGGAUCGGAUGGGUUUGAGAACCGUCAGCGCUUUCGCGAGGAGUUGGCUAGAAGGAUCAAGCGUAUGAAGAUCUAGAUGAUGGCCGUCCCGAUUAUACGGGGAUGAGAUGAGAUGCGAGCUUGACGAAGUGGCUUCCUGAUACUUGAGUCCCUGUUGUAGUUGGAGGGACGAUGCACCUUGGAAUGCGAGAGCGUUAAAGUCAUCUGUUACAAGACUGUGGUGGAGGACUGGUUCCUUUACAGGGUAGGUGGGUUUGGGGCCAUUAUGUGUUGAUCCCAUUGCUUCAUUUAUAGUAUGGGAACAAAGACUGGCGAUGCUGGCAACGGGCAAUUGAUCUUAAGAGGCCACCAAUAAUUCGGACAUUAACUACCAAGGAAAGAAAGUUCUGCUCACAACUCAGAGAAAGGAAAAGAAAAAGAAGCACAAAGAGCAGCUCACGCCAUUCUAAAUAGUCUGAAGAACUGAUACCACUUUUAUCAACGGGAAAAUCAGAACGUAUGGAGCGCUUAAGAUAAUUGGCCUGCUGAACGGAAAUCUGUGAGACCCAUUAUAUCUAUUGUUGCUACCUUAAAAGCCUCACAAUUGGGGCAUAUAUAUGUAAAUACUGUACAACUAAUUUGUCACCUCCCACCUUGGAAGGAUUUAAGAUCACGUAAAACCGCAGUCGAAGUCGCAAUCCUGCAGCAAUAAUAUCAUUCCAUGUCGUCACCUUGAAGGUCGAGCCAAGCCACCAAACAGCGGCACAGG